RNAcentral lists this ribosomal RNA (470 nucleotides) under uncultured Lysobacterales bacterium. RNAcentral describes it as "bacterial SSU rRNA". It matches the Rfam family "Bacterial small subunit ribosomal RNA", at positions 9 to 477 of the family's 1533-position model. Lineage: Bacteria; Pseudomonadati; Pseudomonadota; Gammaproteobacteria; Lysobacterales. The record is from RNAcentral.
GAGUUUGAUCGUGGCUCAGAGUGAACGCUGGCGGUAGGCCUAACACAUGCAAGUCGAACGGUAACAGGUCUUUCGGGAUGCUGACGAGUGGCGGACGGGUGAGGAAUACAUCGGAAUCUGCUCAGUCGUGGGGGAUAACGCAUGGAAACGUGCGCUAAUACCGCAUACGACCUUCGGGUGAAAGCAGGGGAAUCUUUAGGGAUCCUUGUGCGAUUGAAUGAGCCGAUGUCGGAUUAGCUAGUUGGUGGGGUAAAAGCCUACCAAGGCGACGAUCCGUAGCUGGUCUGAGAGGAUGAUCAGCCACACUGGGACUGAGACACGGCCCAGACUCCUGCGGGAGGCAGCAGUGGGGAAUAUUGGACAAUGGGGGCAACCCUGAUCCAGCCAUACCGCGUGGGUGAAGAAGGCCUUCUGGGUUGUAAAGCCCUUUUGUUGGGGAAGAAAAACAACGGGUUAAUACCCCGUUGGUA